AUUGAACGCUGGCGGCAGGCCUAACACAUGCAAGUCGAGCGAGCGGCGGAAGGGUGCGUACUGUGUGGGGUCUGCCCGAUCGAGGGGGAUAACUACUGGAAACGGUAGCUAAUACCGCAUACUAUCGGAUAACCCAUAUUUGAUUAGCUAGUAGGUGAGGUAAUGGCUCACCUAGGCGACGAUCCCUAGCUGGACUGAGAGGAUGAUCAGGCACACGGGGAGUGAGACAGGGCACAGACUCCUACGGAGGCAGCAGUGGGGAAUAUUUCACAAUGGAGGCAAGCCUGAUGCAGCCAUGCCGGGUGUAUGAAGAAGGCCCUAGGGUUGUAAAGUACUUUAAGUAGGGGGGCGUUACCGACAGAAGAAGCGCCGGCUAACUCCGUGCCAGCAGCCGCGGUAAUAC
Molecule: ribosomal RNA, 403 nt
Filed under: uncultured bacterium
Lineage: Bacteria
Description: partial 16S ribosomal RNA
Rfam family: Bacterial small subunit ribosomal RNA
Source: RNAcentral